RNAcentral lists this ribosomal RNA (459 nucleotides) under uncultured bacterium. RNAcentral describes it as "partial 16S ribosomal RNA". It matches the Rfam family "Bacterial small subunit ribosomal RNA", at positions 338 to 795 of the family's 1533-position model. The record is from RNAcentral.
CCUACGGGGGGCUGCAGUGAGGAAUAUUGGUCAAUGGCCGGAAGGCUGAACCAGCCAUGCCGCGUGAAGGUCAGUGCCCUAUGGGCGUUACACUUCCUUUGUGCGGGAGCCAUAAUGGUCACGUGUGGCCAGACGAGAGUACCGUACGAAUAAGCAUCGGCUAACUCCGUGCCAGCAGCCGCGGUAAUACGGGGGAUGCAAGCGUUAUCCGGAUUUAUUGGGUUUAAAGGGUGCGCAGGCUGUGAGGUAAGUCAGUUGUGAAAGUUUGCGGCUCAACCGUAAAAUUGCAAUUGAUACUGGCAGCCUUGAGUACGGUUGAGGUAGGCGGAAUUCGUGGUGUAGCGGUGAAAUGCUUAGAUAUCACGAAGAACUCCGAUUGCGAAGGCAGCCUACUAAACUGCCACUGACAUUGAUGCUCGAAAGUGUGGGUAUCAAACAGGAUUAGAUACCCCUGUAGUC